GGUUUCCCUUUACGAAUUGUAGUUUAAAGAAGUGUUUUCUGUUGAGGUUUUGGUAAAAGUUCUUUGGAAUAGGACAUCAUAGAGGGUGAGAAUCCCGUAUUUGACCUUUACUUUCAACUUUGUGAUACACUUUCAAAGAGUCGGAUUGUUUGGGAAUGCAGUCCAAAAUGGGUGGUAAAUUUCAUCUAAAGCUAAACAUUGGCGAGAGACCGAUAGCGAACAAGUACCGUGAGGGAAAGAUGAAAAGAACUUUGAAAAGAGAGUUAAACAGUACGUGAAAUUGUCAAAAGGGAAGCGUUUGACACCAGUGUUGUUUUUCUGAAAAUCAAUUAAAGAACUGUUUAUGCUAAGUUGUUUAGACUUUAUCAGCUAACUGUUUAGUUUUGAGCUUUUCUUU
This 397-nucleotide ribosomal RNA is filed under the name uncultured Neocallimastigomycetes. RNAcentral describes it as "eukaryotic LSU rRNA". It matches the Rfam family "Eukaryotic large subunit ribosomal RNA", at positions 127 to 516 of the family's 3401-position model. The record is from RNAcentral. Lineage: Eukaryota; Fungi; Neocallimastigomycota; Neocallimastigomycetes.